CGCGGCCUAUCAGCUUGUUGGUGGGGUAAUGGCCUACCAAGGCGACGACGGGUAGCCGGCCUGAGAGGGCGACCGGCCACACUGGGACUGAGACACGGCCCAGACUCCUACGGGAGGCAGCAGUGGGGAAUAUUGCACAAUGGGGGAAACCCUGAUGCAGCGACGCCGCGUGAGGGAUGACGGCCUUCGGGUUGUAAACCUCUUUCAGUAGGGAAGAAGCCUUCGGGUGACGGUACCUGCAGAAGAAGUACCGGCUAACUACGUGCCAGCAGCCGCGGUAAUACGUAGGGUACAAGCGUUGUCCGGAAUUAUUGGGCGUAAAGAGCUCGUAGGCGGUUCGUCGCGUCUGCUGUGGAAACGCAAGGCUCAACCUUGCGCGUGCAGUGGGUACGGGCGGACUAGAGUGCAGUAGGGGAGUCUGGAAUUCCUGGUGUAGCGGUGAAAUGCGCAGAUAUCAGGAGGAACACCGGUGGCGAAGGCGGGACUCUGGGCUGUAACUGACGCUGAGGAGCGAAAGCAUGGGGAGCGAACAGGAUUAGAUACCCUGGUAGUCCAUGCCGUAAACGUUGGGCACUAGGUGUGGGGCUCAUUCCACGAGUUCCGCGCCGCAGCUAACGCAUUAAGUGCCCCGCCUGGGGAGUACGG
Molecule: ribosomal RNA, 645 nt
Filed under: uncultured bacterium
Lineage: Bacteria
Description: bacterial SSU rRNA
Rfam family: Bacterial small subunit ribosomal RNA
Source: RNAcentral